GAGGCUGAUGCAGAGGCCAGAGGGGGCCAGCAUGAAGAUGAUGAAGACCGUCUUCUCGGUGGGACGUGACACGAAGCAGUCCACCGUGUUGGGGCAGGG
Long non-coding RNA from Alosa sapidissima (American shad), 99 nucleotides. RefSeq lists it as uncharacterized. The transcript is spliced from 4 exons. The record is from RefSeq and is a predicted model, not a curated record. Lineage: Eukaryota; Metazoa; Chordata; Actinopteri; Clupeiformes; Clupeidae.